UCUUCAUUCUUCACACUAUCUCACUGGUCAGAGGGGCGAGAGAGUAUGCGAAAUGAAGAGA
Molecule: non-coding RNA, 61 nt
Organism: Pristionchus pacificus
Lineage: Eukaryota; Metazoa; Nematoda; Chromadorea; Rhabditida; Neodiplogasteridae
Source: Rfam